AGUGAACGCUGGCGGUAGGCCUAACACAUGCAAGUCGAACGGCAGCACAGUAAGAGCUUGCUCUUACGGGUGGCGAGUGGCGGACGGGUGAGGAGUACAUCGGAAUCUACUUUUUCGUGGGGGAUAACGUAGGGAAGCUUACGCUAAUACCGCAUACGACCUACGGGUGAAAUCAGGGGAUCUUCGGACCUUGCGCGAUUGAAUGAGCCGAUGUCGGAUUAGCUAGUUGGCGGGGUAAAGGCCCACCAAGGCGACGAUCCGUAGCUGGUCUGAGAGGAUGAUCAGCCACACUGGAACUGAGACACGGUCCAGACUCCUACGGGAGGCAGCAGUGGGGAAUAUUGGACAAUGGGCGCAAGCCUGAUCCAGCCAUACCGCGUGGGUGAAGAAGGCCUUCGGGUUGUAAAGCCCUUUUGUUGGGAAAGAAAAGCAGCAGGUUAAUACCCCGCUGUUCUGACGGUACCCAAAGAAUAAGCACCGGCUAACUUCGUG
Molecule: ribosomal RNA, 492 nt
Filed under: uncultured bacterium
Lineage: Bacteria
Description: partial 16S ribosomal RNA
Rfam family: Bacterial small subunit ribosomal RNA
Source: RNAcentral